This is a non-coding RNA of Podarcis lilfordi (Lilford's wall lizard), 73 nucleotides long. NCBI's taxonomy places the organism in Eukaryota, Metazoa, Chordata, Lepidosauria, Squamata, Lacertidae. The record is from the annotation of a GenBank genome assembly.
AGGGUUGUAGCCCAGUGGUAUAAGCAUCUGCUUUGCAUGCAGAAGGUCGCAGGUUCAAUCCCUGGCAUCUCCA